This 403-nucleotide ribosomal RNA is filed under the name uncultured bacterium. RNAcentral describes it as "bacterial SSU rRNA". It matches the Rfam family "Bacterial small subunit ribosomal RNA", at positions 355 to 775 of the family's 1533-position model. The record is from RNAcentral.
CAAGGAAUUUUCCCCACUGGGCGCAAGCCUGAGGGAGCAACGCCGCGUGGAGGACGACGGCCUUCGGGUUGUAAACUCCUUUGGGGGGGGACGAUACGGACGGUACCCCCAGAACAAGCCCCGGCUAACUCCGUGCCAGCAGCCGCGGUAAUACGGAGGGGGCUAGCGUUGUCCGGACUUACUGGGCGUAAAGGGUGCGUAGGCGGUCUUGUGCGUCGGUGCUGAAAGCGCCCGGCUUAACCGGGCGAGGCGUGCCGAUACGAUAAGACUGGAGGGGCAGCGAGGGUGGCGGAACUCCUGGUGUAGUGGUGAAAUGCGUAGAGAUCAGGAAGAACACCCGUGGCGCAAGCGGCCACCUGGCUGCCAACUGACGCUGAGGCACGAGAGCGUGGGGAGCGAACCG